AAAUUGAAGAGUUUGAUCAUGGCUCAGAUUGAACGCUGGCGGCAGGCCUAACACAUGCAAGUCGAGCGGUAGCACAGAGAGCUUGCUCUCGGGUGACGAGCGGCGGACGGGUGAGUAAUGUCUGGGAAACUGCCUGAUGGAGGGGGAUAACUACUGGAAACGGUAGCUAAUACCGCAUAACGUCGCAAGACCAAAGUGGGGGACCUUCGGGCCUCAUGCCAUCAGAUGUGCCCAGAUGGGAUUAGCUAGUAGGUGGGGUAACGGCUCACCUAGGCGACGAUCCCUAGCUGGUCUGAGAGGAUGACCAGCCACACUGGAACUGAGACACGGUCCAGACUCCUACGGGAGGCAGCAGUGGGGAAUAUUGCACAAUGGGCGCAAGCCUGAUGCAGCCAUGCCGCGUGUGUGAAGAAGGCCUUCGGGUUGUAAAGCACUUUCAGCGGGGAGGAAGGCGUUAAGGUUAAUAACCUUGGCGAUUGACGUUACCCGCAGAAGAAGCACCGGCUAACUCCGUGCCAGCAGCCGCGGUAAUACGGAGGGUGCAAGCGUUAAUCGGAAUUACUGGGCGUAAAGCGCACGCAGGCGGUCUGUCAAGUCGGAUGUGAAAUCCCCGGGCUUAACCUGGGAACUGCAUUCGAAACUGGCAGGCUAGAGUCUUGUAGAGGGGGGUAGAAUUCCAGGUGUAGCGGUGAAAUGCGUAGAGAUCUGGAGGAAUACCGGUGGCGAAGGCGGCCCCCUGGACAAAGACUGACGCUCAGGUGCGAAAGCGUGGGGAGCAAACAGGAUUAGAUACCCUGGUAGUCCACGCCGUAAACGAUGUCGAUUUGGAGGUUGUGCCCUUGAGGCGUGGCUUCCGGAGCUAACGCGUUAAAUCGACCGCCUGGGGAGUACGGCCGCAAGGUUAAAACUCAAAUGAAUUGACGGGGGCCCGCACAAGCGGUGGAGCAUGUGGUUUAAUUCGAUGCAACGCGAAGAACCUUACCUGGUCUUGACAUCCACAGAACUUUCCAGAGAUGGAUUGGUGCCUUCGGGAACUGUGAGACAGGUGCUGCAUGGCUGUCGUCAGCUCGUGUUGUGAAAUGUUGGGUUAAGUCCCGCAACGAGCGCAACCCUUAUCCUUUGUUGCCAGCGGUCCGGCCGGGAACUCAAAGGAGACUGCCAGUGAUAAACUGGAGGAAGGUGGGGAUGACGUCAAGUCAUCAUGGCCCUUACGACCAGGGCUACACACGUGCUACAAUGGCAUAUACAAAGAGAAGCGACCUCGCGAGAGCAAGCGGACCUCAUAAAGUAUGUCGUAGUCCGGAUUGGAGUCUGCAACUCGACUCCAUGAAGUCGGAAUCGCUAGUAAUCGUAGAUCAGAAUGCUACGGUGAAUACGUUCCCGGGCCUUGUACACACCGCCCGUCACACCAUGGGAGUGGGUUGCAAAAGAAGUAGGUAGCUUAACCUUCGGGAGGGCGCUUACCACUUUGUGAUUCAUGACUGGGGUGAAGUCGUAACAAGGUAACCGUAGGGGAACCUGCGGUUGGAUCACCUCCUUA
This 1540-nucleotide ribosomal RNA is filed under the name Klebsiella pneumoniae. RNAcentral describes it as "bacterial SSU rRNA". It matches the Rfam family "Bacterial small subunit ribosomal RNA". RNAcentral also lists the same sequence under 1 other name. The record is from RNAcentral. Lineage: Bacteria; Pseudomonadati; Pseudomonadota; Gammaproteobacteria; Enterobacterales; Enterobacteriaceae.